UGGCCAGAAAGAACCCCAAAAAAUGGGAUGAGUUUUUUUUAGGCGACUGUUUGGCCUGUGGACAAAAAAAAAAAUUUGACCACAGCAUAGCCCUUAUUAUUUAAUGUUUGGCAGAGAGGCCAGGUAUCCCUCAGAGGUGCCAAAAGACUACGAGGUGACAACUGACAAAGUUGAGAAUGUGGCCAGGAGGGAGCAAAUAUUUCAAGGGCUAAGCAACCAACCGGAGACUUACUCAAGAGUUCGAGAAAAUGUCAAAAAAAGUCAGUCCAAGAUCCGAAAACGGAAAUUGGAAAGUGGUUGGGAGGACAAUUUUAAGGUUGGGGACUUAGUUUUUUUUUUUUUACAUUCGAGAAGAGCAGCGGAAGGAGGGGGGAAUGGAGACGGAUAUGUUGGGGCCAUUUACUAUCACAGGCAUCAGUGAGAAAGUAGUACAUUUGGCCAAGGACCAAAGCACGAUGGUCGCUAAUAUCGACCAGCUGACACCUUUUAACAAACCAGAGGACAGAAUCCCAGCUGGACUCACGAAGGUGAGCAGCUGUCCUAUACCUGACCCCCCGCCCCAACAACCACCACCCAGCCUCUCUAGCCCCAACCAACAUGCUGCCAACCCUCCACCAGCCGCAUUUGAAGGGAAUCAACCCAUCCAUGCUAUCCAGGAUAUAUGGCAGACCAAGGGCCAUAUACUCUGGUUGAAACUGGGCCCAUAUAAACUAUUUACGACAGAUUUACAGAACCUGGCAGA
This is a long non-coding RNA of Pseudoliparis swirei, 742 nucleotides long. RefSeq lists it as uncharacterized. NCBI's taxonomy places the organism in Eukaryota, Metazoa, Chordata, Actinopteri, Perciformes, Liparidae. The transcript has 3 exons. The record is from RefSeq and is a predicted model, not a curated record.